This 32-nucleotide non-coding RNA is filed under the name Geobacter sulfurreducens PCA. The record is from RNAcentral. Lineage: Bacteria; Pseudomonadati; Thermodesulfobacteriota; Desulfuromonadia; Geobacterales; Geobacteraceae.
ACGAGCCACUGAAACUCAGCCCCUGGCCCAGA